UACGGGGGGGGCAAGCGUUGUUCGGAAUUACUGGGCGUAAAGGGCUCGUAGGUGGCCAACUAAGUCGGACGUGAAAUCCCUCGGCUUAACCGGGGAACUGCGUCCGAUACUGGAUGGCUUGAGUUUGGGAGAGGGAUGCGGAAUUCCAGGUGUAGCGGUGAAAUGCGUAGAUAUCUGGAGGAACACCGGUGGCGAAGGCGGCAUCCUGGACCAACACUGACACUGAGGAGCGAAAGCCAGGGGAGCAAACAGG
This 253-nucleotide ribosomal RNA is filed under the name uncultured bacterium. RNAcentral describes it as "partial 16S ribosomal RNA". It matches the Rfam family "Bacterial small subunit ribosomal RNA", at positions 524 to 776 of the family's 1533-position model. The record is from RNAcentral.